GCACUGCUGAGGAGUCCCAUACCAGGACGAAACUAACGUCCAGUAC
Molecule: non-coding RNA, 46 nt
Filed under: Schistosoma curassoni
Lineage: Eukaryota; Metazoa; Platyhelminthes; Trematoda; Strigeidida; Schistosomatidae
Source: RNAcentral